AUACGUAGGUGACAAGCGUUAUCCGGAUUUACUGGGUGUAAAGGGCGUGCAGCCGGGACGGCAAGUCAGAUGUGAAAUCCAUGGGCUUAACCCAUGAACUGCAUUUGAAACUGUCGUUCUUGAGUACCGGAGGGGCAAUCGGAAUUCCUAGUGUAGCGGUGAAAUGCGUAGAUAUUAGGAGGAACACCAGUGGCGAAUGCGGAUUGCUGGACGGCAACUGACGGUGAGGCGCGAAAGUGUGGGGAGCAAACAGGAUGAGAUACCCUGGUAGUCCUCUCUGUAAACGAUUGAUACUAGGUGUGCGGGGACUGACCCCCUGCGUGCCGGCGUUAACACAAUAAGUAUCCCACCUGGGGAGUACGAUCGCAAGGUUGAAACUCAAAUGAAUUGACGGGG
This 396-nucleotide ribosomal RNA is filed under the name uncultured bacterium. RNAcentral's name for it is "partial 16S ribosomal RNA". It matches the Rfam family "Bacterial small subunit ribosomal RNA", at positions 523 to 918 of the family's 1533-position model. The record is from RNAcentral.